Molecule: ribosomal RNA, 460 nt
Filed under: uncultured bacterium
Lineage: Bacteria
Description: partial 16S ribosomal RNA
Rfam family: Bacterial small subunit ribosomal RNA
Source: RNAcentral
GCUACGGGUGGCAGCAGUGAGGAAUAUUGGUCAAUGGCCGAGAGGCUGAACCAGCCAAGUCGCGUGAGGGAAGAAUGUCCUAUGGAUUGUAAACCUCUUUUGUCAGGGAGCAAAGUCACCCACGUGUGGGUGUUGGAGAGUACCUGAAGAAAAAGCAUCGGCUAACUACGUGCCAGCAGCCGCGGUAAUACGUAGGUGGCAAGCGUUAUCCGGAUGUACUGGGUGUAAAGGGCGUGUAGGCGGGACUGCAAGUCAGAUGUGAAAACCACGGGCUCAACCUGUGGCCUGCAUUUGAAACUGUAGUUCUUGAGUACUGGAGAGGCAGACGGAAUUCCUAGUGUAGCGGUGAAAUGCGUAGAUAUUAGGAGGAACACCAGUGGCGAAGGCGGUCUGCUGGACAGCAACUGACGCUGAGGCGCGAAAGCGUGGGGAGCAAACAGGAUUAGAUACCCUAGUAGUC